RNAcentral lists this ribosomal RNA (468 nucleotides) under uncultured bacterium. RNAcentral describes it as "partial 16S ribosomal RNA". It matches the Rfam family "Bacterial small subunit ribosomal RNA", at positions 28 to 507 of the family's 1533-position model. The record is from RNAcentral.
GACGAACGCUGGCGGCGUGCUUAACACAUGCAAGUCGAACGGAAAGGCCCUUCUUUUGUGGGGUGCUCGAGUGGCGAACGGGUGAUUAACACGUAAGUAACCUGCCCUUGACUUUGGGAUAACUUCAGGUAACUUGGGCUAAUACCGGAUAGGAGCUCCUGCUGCAUGGUGGGGGUUGGAAAGUUUCGGCGGUUGGGGAUGGACUCGCGGCUUAUCAGCUUGUUGGUGGGGUAGUGGCUUACCAAGGCUUUGACGGAUAGCCGGCCUGAGAGGGUGAACGGCGACAUUAGGACUGAGAGACGGACCAGACGGGUAUGGGAGGCAGCAGUGGGGAAUAUGGCACAAUGGGCGGGAGCGUGAGGCAGAAACGCCGGGGGCGGGAUGAGGGUCUGCGGGGUGUAAAAAGCUUUCGCCUGUGACGAAGCGUGAGUGACGGUAAUGGAUAAAGAAGCACCGGCUAACUACGUG